AGAUUCUCUUCGUAUUUAAACCCCUUUAAGCCAUUUCUUUGGUUCAUAAUCAGCCUCCAACACCCUUAUGAUUUUAGAUUAAACGUAUAGAUAAUUGUCAAAGUCUGAAAGAGGAAUUGAAUAGAGUGAAUGAUAAGUAUAUAAGGAAAUAGGAUUUAGGUGACAAUUCAGGCACACAAACACCACCCGAUUCUGGUCUUGUUUUUAAAUCAAUGCCACCAACACUCAAUGUUGCCGUCAUCACACAUGUCAACGCUUUGUAACAUGCACUACCUUUGUUGGUUGGUUCACUUUCAGAUCGCUAGACUCUUGCUCCAAGGAAAAUAUGGGUUUUAAUUAAUCUCUAAGGAAUUGCAGAAGCAGGUGAUGGGGUAGAACCGGUGAAAUUUCGAAGUUGACGAAUAUGAAGGGAAGAUAGCAGGCGUUACUAUUUUCCAUGGCUAUUUUUUAUUUUAUGUCAUAUGGAUAUUUCUAGGAUUUCUAUAAAAUGUCUCUUCUGUUCUAUGGUUUUGCUCAUGGUUAAUCCUGAAAUAUUUUACUACCAAACAACAAUUGGAAAGUUAUCUAAGUAGACUCAGAUGUGAUCUGUUAUGGUCUAAGUGUAAAUUUCUCAAUUUAGUAAUUUAUUUUAGGUUAUUAAAUUUUUUUUA
Molecule: long non-coding RNA, 650 nt
Organism: Lactuca sativa (garden lettuce)
Lineage: Eukaryota; Viridiplantae; Streptophyta; Magnoliopsida; Asterales; Asteraceae
Source: RefSeq, a predicted model, not a curated record